CUGCUGCCUUCCGUAGGAGUUUGGGCCGUGUCUCAGUCCCAAUGUGGCCGUCCACCCUCUCAGGCCGGCUACUGAUCGUCGCCUUGGUGGGCCGUUACCCCGCCAACAAGCUAAUCAGACGCGGGUCCAUCUUACACCACCGGAGUUUUUCNCACAAAUCCAUGCGGCUUCGUGCGCUUAUGCGGUAUUAGCACCUAUUUCUAAGUGUUAUCCCCCAGUGUAAGGCAGGUUACCCACGCGUUACUCACCCGUCCGCCACUAAGUA
Molecule: ribosomal RNA, 265 nt
Filed under: uncultured bacterium
Lineage: Bacteria
Description: partial 16S ribosomal RNA
Source: RNAcentral